UACGUAGGUGGCAAGCGUUGUCCGGAUUUAUUGGGCGUAAAGCGCGCGCAGGUGGUUUCUUAAAGUCUGAUGUGAAAAGCCCACGGCUCAACCGUGGAGGGUCAUUGGAAACUGGGAGACUUGAGUGCAGAAGAGGAAAGUGGAAUUCCAUGUGUAGCGGUGAAAUGCGUAGAGAUAUGGAGGAACACCAGUGGCGAAGGCGACUUUCUGGUCUGUAACUGACACUGAGGCGCGAAAGCGUGGGGAGCGGAACAGG
This 256-nucleotide ribosomal RNA is filed under the name uncultured bacterium. RNAcentral's name for it is "partial 16S ribosomal RNA". It matches the Rfam family "Bacterial small subunit ribosomal RNA", at positions 524 to 776 of the family's 1533-position model. The record is from RNAcentral.